RNAcentral lists this ribosomal RNA (383 nucleotides) under uncultured eukaryote. Its description in RNAcentral is "partial 18S ribosomal RNA". It matches the Rfam family "Eukaryotic small subunit ribosomal RNA", at positions 592 to 976 of the family's 1831-position model. The record is from RNAcentral.
CAAUAGCGUAUAUUAAAGUUGUUGCAGUUAAAAAGCUCGUAGUUGGAUUUCUGGUGGGAGCGAUCGGUCUGGCGCUUAGCGCGAGUACUUGCAUCGUCUCCGGCCAUCCUUGGGGAGAGUCUGUCUGGCAUUAGGUUGUCGGGCAGAGGAUCCUCAUCGUUUACUGUGAAAAAAUUAGAGUGUUCAAAGCAGGCUUAUGCCGUUGAAUAUAUUAGCAUGGAAUAAUAAGAUAGGACUUUGGUACUAUUUUGUUGGUUUGCGCACUGAGGUAAUGAUUAAUAGGGACAGUUGGGGGUAUUCGUAUUCCAUUGUAAGAGGUGAAAUUCUUGGAUUUUUGGAAGACGAACUACUGCGAAAGCAUUUACCAAGGAUGUUUNCAUUAA